Molecule: ribosomal RNA, 492 nt
Filed under: uncultured bacterium
Lineage: Bacteria
Description: partial 16S ribosomal RNA
Rfam family: Bacterial small subunit ribosomal RNA
Source: RNAcentral
AGUGAACGCUGGCGGCAGGCCUAAUACAUGCAAGUCGAGCGACAGCACAGUAAGGUCUUGCUCUUACGGGUGGCGAGGGGCGGACGAGUGAGGCAUACAUCGGCAACCAAUUAUUCUUGGGGGACAACGGGGAACCACUUCCGCUACUAGCGCAUACGAUCUACCGGAGGAAUCAAGAGAUCUUCGCACCUUUGGCGUCUCAUUUAGACGGUGUCGGAUUAGCUAGUUGGCGGGGUAAAGGCCCACCAAGGCGACGAUACGUAGCUGGCCUGAGAGGAUGAUCGGCCACACUGGAACUGAGACACGGUCCAGACUCCUACGGGAGGCAGCAGUAGGGAAUAUUGCGCAAUGGGCGAAAGCCUGAUCCAGCCAUGCCGCGUGGGUGAAGAAGGUCUUCGGGUCGUAAAGCUCUUUUAUUGGGGAAGAACAAAAGCAGAUGUAUAUAUGCACGUUUUGACGGUACCCAAUCAGAAAGCAACGGCUAACUUCGUG